RNAcentral lists this ribosomal RNA (253 nucleotides) under uncultured bacterium. Its description in RNAcentral is "partial 16S ribosomal RNA". It matches the Rfam family "Bacterial small subunit ribosomal RNA", at positions 524 to 776 of the family's 1533-position model. The record is from RNAcentral.
UACGUAGGGUGCAAGCGUUGUCCGGAAUUAUUGGGCGUAAAGAGCUCGUAGGCGGUUUGUCGCGUCGGCUGUGAAAACCCGGGGCUCAACCCCGGGCCUGCAGUCGAUACGGGCAAACUAGAGUGUGGUAGGGGAGACUGGAAUUCCUGGUGUAGCGGUGAAAUGCGCAGAUAUCAGGAGGAACACCGGUGGCGAAGGCGGGUCUCUGGGCCGAUACUGACGCUGAGGAGCGAAAGCAUGGGUAGCGAACAGG